RNAcentral lists this ribosomal RNA (460 nucleotides) under uncultured bacterium. RNAcentral describes it as "partial 16S ribosomal RNA". It matches the Rfam family "Bacterial small subunit ribosomal RNA", at positions 338 to 795 of the family's 1533-position model. The record is from RNAcentral.
CCUACGGGUGGCAGCAGUGAGGAAUAUUGGUCAAUGGACGGAAGUCUGAACCAGCCAUGCCGCGUGCAGGAUGACGGCUCUAUGAGUUGUAAACUGCUUUUGUACGAGAAUAAUAGUAGUUACGUGUAGGGAUUUGAAUGUAUCGUACGAAUAAGGAUCGGCUAACUCCGUGCCAGCAGCCGCGGUAAUACGGAGGAUCCGAGCGUUAUCCGGAUUUAUUGGGUUUAAAGGGUGCGUAGGCGGUCGGAUAAGUUAGUUGUCAAAUGUCGGGGCUUAACCCUGUAACUGCCUCUGAUACUGGUCGACUAGAGUGCAGAUGCGGCAGGCGGAAUGAGUAGUGUAGCGGUGAAAUGCUUAGAUAUUACUCAGAACACCGAUUGCGCAGGCAGCUUGCUAAUCCGCAUCUGACGCUGAUGCACGAAAGCGUGGGUAGCGAACAGGAUUAGAUACCCGAGUAGUC